Molecule: ribosomal RNA, 460 nt
Filed under: uncultured bacterium
Lineage: Bacteria
Description: partial 16S ribosomal RNA
Rfam family: Bacterial small subunit ribosomal RNA
Source: RNAcentral
CCUACGGGAGGCAGCAGUGAGGAAUAUUGGUCAAUGGGCGCGAGCCUGAACCAGCCAAGUCGCGUGAGGGAUGACUGCCCUACGGGUUGUAAACUUCUUUUCUAAAGGAAUAAAGUCAAGCCCGUGUGCCUUUUUGUAUGUACUUUAUGAAUAAGGCUCGGCUAAAUCCGUGCCAGCCGCCGCGGUAAUACGGAGGAUCCGAGCGUUCUCCGGAUUUAUUGGGUUUAAAGGUUGCGUAGGCGUGCGUUUGAGUCAGCGGGGAAAGUCUGUGGCUUAACCGGGGAUUUGCGGUGGAAACUGGGUGGCUUGAGUGUGGUUGAGGCAGGCGGAAGGCGUGGUGUAGCGGUGAAAUGCGUAGAUAUCACGCAGAACCCCGAUGGCGAAGGCAGCCUGCUAAGCCAUGACUGACGCUGAGGCACGAAAGCGUGGGGAUCAAACAGGAUUAGAUACCCUGGUAGUC